CAGAGGUAUUCCAGCUGUUGGAUCAUCUUCGUGGCCUCCUCUGGACCCAUUCUAACAGUUCCAUACCACAUGCCAUGCUUCAGGAAAGAAACACUUAUUAAGCGUAAAGCAGAUAAGGUCCUGUGUUAAACAGAAAGCUCCGGUACAGCUGAGGUAAUUUAAAACCACAAUGUGGAGCCAAGGACUGACUAGUGGCUGUCUCUCAUUCUGCUGUGGAAAUCCCACUUCCUUCUCCACAGAGAUACCUCCACAAACAGGCUCUCCAGGCAGGGAGAAAAUUGAUGGAUUUUACUGCUUUACUUGGAUCUCAGUAACCACUCUUCCCAGUAGGAGCGUGCUGGCAAUACCAGUCUUGCUUCAAAGCCAGGGGUACUCGACAUGCAAUAAAGUUCCGCUGCUAAUAUUCCAAGAGGAUGGAGCAAACAGUGUCUGGAAUGGCAGCCAGCAGUCCUGCUUGCACUCAAUACUCUGCCACAGUUGGGCUGGGGUUCCUGUAAGAUACUUGGAGCUGUUCUGCAGACAACUGAGUAUCAAACUCCACACAUCUUCCACCCGCACAGAAGCACAUCUGUGAAAAAAAUGAAAAUUUCAGUUUGAGUAACAAGGAAAAUUUAAGAAAGAAAGAAGCAAAUAGAAUUUAGCCUCAUUUUCCUUAGGGCAAUCCAUUGUGGCAGUGCUAUCAAGAACAGUCUUCGAUUAUUUUUUCAUUCUUAGAGCGAAUUUGUGUACUUGAGGAUACUGAAUUAGAGCUGAAGGUUCAUCUUGCUUUUGGCUCAUACACAGAUCAGUUUUGUCACUUGAAUCAGCUACGCUGGGUAUGUGAUAGUGCACAGAUUUUCUGAAGUUACAUACUCAUGAAUAAACACCUUUAAGUGCGGAAAUGCACGUCAGUCCAGCACUUUCUGUAGUACUGUUUAAAGACCCUUUACACUGCAAAACCAAAUUGUUCUGACUUAUUUGUUCAUUAGCUCUGCAAGAAUUCCCUCUUUACCUUGUCCUGGUUUUGACUGGGAUAGUUAAUUUUCUUCCUUGUAGCUGGUGUAGUGUGGUGCUUUGGAUCUGGGAUGACCAUAAUGUGGAUAAUGCACUGAUGUUAUUAGUUGUUGCUAAGCAGUGCUUGUACCAAGUCAAGGACCUUUCAGCU
Cuculus canorus (common cuckoo) is the source of this 1144-nucleotide long non-coding RNA. RefSeq lists it as uncharacterized. The record is from RefSeq and is a predicted model, not a curated record. The transcript has 4 exons. Lineage: Eukaryota; Metazoa; Chordata; Aves; Cuculiformes; Cuculidae.